This 494-nucleotide ribosomal RNA is filed under the name uncultured bacterium. Its description in RNAcentral is "partial 16S ribosomal RNA". It matches the Rfam family "Bacterial small subunit ribosomal RNA", at positions 28 to 507 of the family's 1533-position model. The record is from RNAcentral.
GACGAACGCUGGCGGCGUGCUUAACACAUGCAAGUCGAACGGUGAAGCGCCUUCCUUUUUGGUGGGUGUGGAUGAGUGGCGAACGGGUGAGUAACACGUGAGUAACCUGCCCCCUUCUUCUGGAUAACCGCAUGAAAGUGUGGCUAAUACGGGAUAUUCUGGGUCUGUCGCAUGAUGGGUCUGGGAAAGAUAUUGUUUCGGUGGGGGAUGGGCUCGCGGCCUAUCAGCUUGUUGGUGGGGUGAUGGCCUACCACGGCGGUGACGGGUAGCCGGCCUGAGAGGGUGGACGGUCACACUGGGACUGAGACACGGCCCAGACUCCUACGGGAGGCAGCAGUGGGGAAUAGUGCACAAUGGGCGCAAGCCUGAUGCAGCGACGCCGCGUGAGGGAUGGAGGCCUUCGGGUUGUGAACCUCUUUCGCCAGUGAAGCAGGCCUGCCUCGUUUGUGGGUGGGUUGACGGUAGCUGGAUAAGAAGCGCCGGCUAACUACGUG